AUGCCCCCUUCUUCUCAACCCAGCAAAUCGCUGACCUCCAAGGAUGUGGAGGGGGAUGUUUGGAAGUGUUCUUUGGGGAAUGAGAGAAAGGCUACGGUGAUGACAUCUUUUUCUCUCAAGGACUUGAGGAGCCCAAGAAUAACCAAAAUUGAGAGUAAACCCAGACAAAAAUAGAUGUCACCAAUUAUUCUCAAGAAGCACUCAAUAAUAAGAUAGAUCAGCAGGCACAAUGAGGAGGUAA
RNAcentral lists this long non-coding RNA (241 nucleotides) under Ailuropoda melanoleuca (giant panda). RNAcentral describes it as "lncRNA (ENSAMEG00000025852.1)". Lineage: Eukaryota; Metazoa; Chordata; Mammalia; Carnivora; Ursidae. The record is from RNAcentral.